Paramuricea clavata is the source of this 236-nucleotide non-coding RNA. The record is from the annotation of a GenBank genome assembly. NCBI's taxonomy places the organism in Eukaryota, Metazoa, Cnidaria, Anthozoa, Malacalcyonacea, Plexauridae.
GUUUGAUUCAAAUCUUAUCAAAUUAAGCAUUGAUUAACACCUAGCACAAAGAACUGUUGAUCUUAUCUUCAGUCUCAAUGUUCCAAAUUAUUGGAUUGCUUUACCAAACAAUUAAUAUAUAAUGCCAAUUGUUUUUCCUUCCCUAUAAUACACAAAACAUAUUCCAAACAACAUCAUCCUGUAGUCUGGUUGUGGUUUUCCUUGUCAUGCAUGACAAUCAAUUUUCUUUCAAUUUC